Non-coding RNA from Urocitellus parryii (Arctic ground squirrel), 676 nucleotides. The record is from RefSeq and is a predicted model, not a curated record. Lineage: Eukaryota; Metazoa; Chordata; Mammalia; Rodentia; Sciuridae.
AGCAAUACAGAUUCCAGCAUGUUGGAAAAACUUUCUGCUAUCUUAGUCAUCUCUGCCUCAUGACAUGUGACAAAGGAGUCAGGCCUGAGGGACUGUGAGGCCUGGUUUCUGGGAACAGGAGGAAGAGAGAUCCAGUGGCUGCUUCAAAGCUUCCUMUCCCACUGAGUGCUAUGUUGGUGCCUCAGGACACUGGCCUUUUCCCUUCAGUGAUAUCCUGAUUCUGUCACUCACCAGCAUGCCUGGCUCCCUCAUUUUAGGUUUCUGCUCAGAAGUCACCUCCCUAGAGAGGCUUCCUGGACCAGCCCUGUAAUUUUCCAAGUUGUGCCUGCUUUCCUUUCUGUGAAUGAGUGGAAAUCAGUCCUAAAAGCCCGAGGAAUUUCUGCUGCAAGAUCUUCAACGGAAAACAUGCAGUUGCAUUCCGCCUGUCUUCCAAGAUGACCCUCCAUCACUGGAAGGUAUGGGGCUAUGAAGACAGCAGCUGUUCUAUGUUUCAGGUCCCACACAGCACGGGAGAUGGGAUGACCUGCUACAACCACAGCUGCACAGCCCCUCUGAGAUGGGUGUGGCCUGCCAAGAUGCCAAUCAACCUGCUGACUGUGAGACCUCAUGAAGCAAAAUUCUGCCCUUGAAACCUUACCUUUGCCUUUGAUGUACCCCCUUAAAUAAACCACAGGAG